Molecule: ribosomal RNA, 497 nt
Filed under: uncultured bacterium
Lineage: Bacteria
Description: partial 16S ribosomal RNA
Rfam family: Bacterial small subunit ribosomal RNA
Source: RNAcentral
GACGAACGCUGGCGGCGUGCCUAAUACAUGCAAGUUGAGCGAUCAAGCUUGGUGCUUGCACCAAUUUGAAGAGCAGCGAACGGGUGAGUAACGCGUGGGUAAUCUGCCUUUGAGCGUGGGACAACAUUUGGAAACGAAUGCUAAUACCGCAUAAUAACUUUAAACAUAAGUUUUAAGAUUGAAAGAUGCAAUUGCAUCACUCAAAGAUGAUCCCGCGUUGUAUUAGCUAGUUGGUGAGGUAAAGGCUCACCAAGGCGAUGAUACAUAGCCGACCUGAGAGGGUGAUACGCCAAAUUGGGACUGAGACACGGCCCAAACUCCUACGGGAGGCAGCAGUAGGGAAUCUUCGGGCAUGGACGAAAGGCUGACCGAGCAAAGCCGCGUGAGUGAAGAAGGUUUUCGGAUCGUAAAAAUCUGUUGGUAGAGAAGAACGUUGGUGGGAGUGGAAAGCUCACCAAGUGACGGUAACUAACCAGAAAGGGACGGCUAACUACGUG